CCUACGGGAGGCAGCAGUGAGGAAUAUUGGUCAAUGGGCGUAAGCCUGAACCAGCCAAGUCGCGUGAGGGAUGAAGGUUCUAUGGAUCGUAAACCUCUUUUAUAAGGGAAUAAAGUGCGGGACGUGUCCCGUUUUGUAUGUACCUUAUGAAUAAGGAUCGGCUAACUCCGUGCCAGCAGCCGCGGUAAAAGGGAGGAUCCGGGCGUUAUCCGGAUUUCUGGGGUUUAAGGGUGGGGUAGCCGGCCGUUUAAGUCGGCGGUGAAAGUCUGUGGCCCAAGGAUAGAAUUGCCGUUGAAACUGGGAGGCUGGAUUAUGUUUGAGGCAGGCGGAAUGCGUGGUGUAGCGGUGAAAUGCUUAGAUAUCACGCAGAACCCCGAUUGCGAAGGCAGCCUGCGAAGCCAUGACUGACGCUGAUGCACGAAAGCGUGGGGAUCAAACAGGAUUAGAUACCCGAGUAGUC
This 460-nucleotide ribosomal RNA is filed under the name uncultured bacterium. RNAcentral describes it as "partial 16S ribosomal RNA". It matches the Rfam family "Bacterial small subunit ribosomal RNA", at positions 338 to 795 of the family's 1533-position model. The record is from RNAcentral.